This 484-nucleotide ribosomal RNA is filed under the name uncultured bacterium. RNAcentral's name for it is "partial 16S ribosomal RNA". It matches the Rfam family "Bacterial small subunit ribosomal RNA", at positions 30 to 507 of the family's 1533-position model. The record is from RNAcentral.
AUUGAACGCUGGCGGCAGGCCUAACACAUGCAAGUCGAGCGGAUGAAGGGAGCUUGCUCCUGGAUUCAGCGGCGGACGGGUGAGUAAUGCCUAGGAAUCUGCCUGGUAGUGGGGGAUAACGUCCGGAAACGGGCGCUAAUACCGCAUACGUCCUGAGGGAGAAAGUGGGGGAUCUUCGGACCUCACGCUAUCAGAUGAGCCUAGGUCGGAUUAGCUAGUUGGUGGGGUAAAGGCCUACCAAGGCGACGAUCCGUAACUGGUCUGAGAGGAUGAUCAGUCAAACUGGAACUGAGACACGGUCCAGACUCCUACGGGAGGCAGCAGUGGGGAAUAUUGGACAAUGGGCGGAAGCCUGAUCCAGCCAUGCCGCGUGUGUGAAGAAGGGCUUCGGAUUGGAAAGCACUUUAAGUUGGGAGGAAGGGCAGUAAGUUAAUACCUUGCUGUUUUGACGUUACCAACAGAAUAAGCACCGGCUAACUUCGUG